RNAcentral lists this ribosomal RNA (326 nucleotides) under uncultured Bacteroidota bacterium. RNAcentral's name for it is "bacterial SSU rRNA". It matches the Rfam family "Bacterial small subunit ribosomal RNA", at positions 28 to 351 of the family's 1533-position model. The record is from RNAcentral. Lineage: Bacteria; Pseudomonadati; Bacteroidota.
GAUGAACGCUAGCGGCAGGCCUAACACAUGCAAGUCGAGGGGCAGCACAGGUAGCAAUACUGGGUGGCGACCGGCGCACGGGUGCGUAACGCGUAUGCAACCUACCUUUAACUGGGGCAUAGCCCGGAGAAAUCCGGAUUAAUAUCCCAUAAUAUUCAUUUUGGACAUCCUUUAUGAAUUAAAUCUUUGGCGGUUAAAGAUGGGCAUGCGUGGCAUUAGCUAGUUGGUGAGGUAACGGCUCACCAAGGCUACGAUCAGUAGCUGGUCUGAGAGGAUGAUCAGCCACACUGGAACUGAGACACGGUCCAGACUCCUACGGGUGGCAG